Molecule: ribosomal RNA, 468 nt
Filed under: uncultured bacterium
Lineage: Bacteria
Description: partial 16S ribosomal RNA
Rfam family: Bacterial small subunit ribosomal RNA
Source: RNAcentral
GACGAACGCUGGCGGCGUGCUUAACACAUGCAAGUCGAACGGAAAGGCCCUGCUUUUGUGGGGUGCUCGAGUGGCGAACGGGUGAGUAACACGUGAGUAACCUGCCCUUGACUUUGGGAUAACUUCAGGAAACUGGGGCUAAUACCGGAUAGGAUCUCCUGCUGCAUGGUGGGGGUUGGAAAGUUUCGGCUGUUGGGGAUGGUCUCGCGGCUUAUCAGCUUGGUGGUGGGGUAGGUGAUUACCAAGGCUUUGACGGGUAGCCGGCCUGAGAGGGUGACCGGCCACAUUGGGACUGAGAUACGGACCAGACUCCUACGGGAGGCAGCAGUGGAGAGUAUUGCAGAGUGGGCGGAAGCCUGAUGCGGCAACGCCGCGUGCGGGAUGACGGCCUUCGGGUUGUAAACCGCUUUCGCCUGUGACGAAGCGUGAGUGACGGUAAUGGGUAAAGAAGCACCGGCUAACUACGUG